ACCCCGUGAACCUUUACUACAGCUUGGCACUGAACAUUGACCCUACAUGUGUAGGAUAGGUGGGAGGCUUUGAAGCAGGUACGCCAGUAUCUGUGGAGCCGUCCUUGAAAUACCACCCUUGUAGUGUUGAUGUUCUAACGUCGACCCCUUAUCGGGGUCGCGGACAGUGCCUGGUGGGUAGUUUGACUGGGGCGGUCUCCUCCCAAAGAGUAACGGAGGAGCACGAAGGUGGGCUA
This 236-nucleotide ribosomal RNA is filed under the name Vibrio parahaemolyticus. RNAcentral's name for it is "partial 23S ribosomal RNA". It matches the Rfam family "Bacterial large subunit ribosomal RNA", at positions 2088 to 2323 of the family's 2925-position model. Lineage: Bacteria; Pseudomonadati; Pseudomonadota; Gammaproteobacteria; Vibrionales; Vibrionaceae. The record is from RNAcentral.